Molecule: unclassified non-coding RNA, 420 nt
Filed under: uncultured Agaricales
Lineage: Eukaryota; Fungi; Basidiomycota; Agaricomycetes; Agaricales
Description: sequence contains ITS2
Rfam family: 5.8S ribosomal RNA (bases 1-154)
Source: RNAcentral
AACUUUCGACAAUGGAUCACUUGGCUCUCGCAUCGAUGAAGAACGCAGCGAACUGCGAUAAGUAAUGUGAAUUGCAGAAUUCAGUGAAUCAUCGAAUCUUUGAACGCACCUUGGGCUCCUUGGUAUUCCGAGGAGCAUGCCUGUUUGAGUGUCAUGAAAUUCUCAACCUUUCUGGCUUUGGCUGGUUAGACUUGGACUGUGGGAGCUGCUGGCUUUUUCAAAAGUCAGCUCUCCUUAAAUGCAUUAGCAAAACCUUUGCUAGACCAUCUUUGGUGUGAUAAUUAUCUAUGCCACUGAGGUUCAGCUUCCUCACAAGAGGGGGUUUAGCUUCUAACUGUCCAAUUUGGACAACUUUGACAAUUUGACCUCAAAUCAGGUAGGACUACCCGCUGAACUUAAGCAUAUCAAUAAGCGGAGGCU